CUUCUUUGAGGACCACAGAAUAAAGACUUCAUGUUC
Non-coding RNA from Bos taurus (domestic cattle), 36 nucleotides. The record is from Rfam. Lineage: Eukaryota; Metazoa; Chordata; Mammalia; Artiodactyla; Bovidae.